Molecule: ribosomal RNA, 448 nt
Filed under: uncultured bacterium
Lineage: Bacteria
Description: partial 16S ribosomal RNA
Rfam family: Bacterial small subunit ribosomal RNA
Source: RNAcentral
AAUGAACGCUGGCGGCAGGCCUAACACAUGCAAGCCGAACGGAUCCUUCGGGAUUAGUGGCGGACGGGUGAGUAACGCGUGGGAACAUACCCUUUGGUACGGAAUAGCCUCGGGAAACUGGGAGUAAUACCGUAUGUGGUCGAGAGACGAAGGAUUUAUCGCCAAAGGAUUGGCCCGCGUUGGAUUAGGUAGUUGGUGGGGUAAUGGCCUACCAAGCCGACGAUCCAUAGCUGGUUUGAGAGGAUGAUCAGCCACACUGGGACUGAGACACGGCCCAGACGCCUACGGGAGGCAGCAGUGGGGAGUCUUAGACAAUGGGGAAACCCUGAUCUAGCCAUGCCGCGUGAUCGAUGAAGGCCUUAGGGUUGUAAAGAUCUUUCAGGUGGGAAGAUAAUGACUGUACCACCAGAAGAAGCCCCGGCUAACUCCGUGCCAGCCGCCGCGGUAA